This 465-nucleotide ribosomal RNA is filed under the name uncultured bacterium. Its description in RNAcentral is "partial 16S ribosomal RNA". It matches the Rfam family "Bacterial small subunit ribosomal RNA", at positions 28 to 507 of the family's 1533-position model. The record is from RNAcentral.
GACGAACGCUGGCGGCGUGCUUAACACAUGCAAGUCGAACGGAAAGGCCCCUUUGGGGGUACUCGAGUGGCGAACGGGUGAGUAACACGUGAGUAACCUGCCCUUGACUUCUGGAUAACUUCAGGAAACUGGGGCUAAUACCGGAUAGGAAUCCUUGCUGCAUGGUGGGGGUUGGAAAGCUUCGGUGGUUUUGGAUGGACUCGCGGCUUAUCAGCUUGUUGGUGGGGUAGUGGCGUACCAAGGCUUUGACGGGGAGCCGGCCUGAGAGGGCGACCGGCCACAUUGGGACUGGGCGACGGCCCGGACUCCUGCGGGAGGGAGAAGUGGCGAAUAUUGGACAAUGGGCGGAAGCCCGAUGCAGCAACGCCGCGUGCGGGAUGACGGCCUUCGGGUUGUAAACAGCGUACCGCAGGGGCGAAGCUUGGGGUGACGGUACCUGCAGAAGAAGCAACGGCUAACUACGUG